Molecule: transfer RNA, 89 nt
Filed under: Acidobacteriota bacterium
Lineage: Bacteria; Pseudomonadati; Acidobacteriota
Also listed under: 1 other name
Description: tRNA-Leu
Rfam family: tRNA
About the family: Transfer RNA (tRNA) molecules are approximately 80 nucleotides in length.
Source: RNAcentral
GCCGGGGUGGCGGAACUGGCAGACGCACAGGACUUAAAAUCCUGGGUCCCGCAAGGGGCGUGCGGGUUCGAUUCCCGCCCCCGGCACCA